Paramuricea clavata is the source of this 725-nucleotide non-coding RNA. NCBI's taxonomy places the organism in Eukaryota, Metazoa, Cnidaria, Anthozoa, Malacalcyonacea, Plexauridae. The record is from the annotation of a GenBank genome assembly.
CACUAGUAUAAAUGGUGAAUCAGUUAAGGGGGAGCUUCACCCCAAUCGUACUUCAAAAUGGACAAAACUUUAACAAUUGUUAGGAGGCAUAUUUUUAAGCAAAAUAUGCAUAAACUAUAUAUUUUUAGAAACUAGAGAUCUUCAGCUAUCAGCUGAGACAAAAAAUUGUCCAGUUCGGUGUAUCGGACUGAAAUUUGACACCAAAGAAGCGAGUAGUAUAUGGAAAACUGGAUUUUACAAGCCACUUUUGCCCCCCCAUAAAAUUUCACAUAAUAUGUGAUGUAUCUAAGUGAAAAUGCACCUUGUGGUAGCUAAGAUAUUGAACUAUGCUCCUAUGAGCCAUUUUUUUGUAAUUCACCAUGGUUGCUAUGGUAACGGAUAAAACAGAUUGCAUAUACACUUUUCACUAUAAAUCCUGUUAGAAAAUAAAUAUCAAAAAAAUGGCUCAUAGUUGCAUUCUACAUACCUUAAACUACAUCUGUGCCAAAAAUGGGAAAUUUUCAUUAAAACAGUAACAAGAAAAGCUAGGGGGGCAGUUGACGUGCGGCCAAAUAUCACAUUUUGAGAAAUAGACAGUUAAAGUUUAAUUUCCGUUGGAACUUGUUGUUUGAGUGUUAUAAGAGUGUUUGAGGCUCUAUUUUUUUCUUGGCAGCUUGCUUUUGCCCUUUUUACCACUACUUUUCCUUGUCGGCCUCUUUCUCUUAGGUUGAACCACUAAAACAAUC